RNAcentral lists this ribosomal RNA (288 nucleotides) under uncultured bacterium. RNAcentral's name for it is "partial 16S ribosomal RNA". It matches the Rfam family "Bacterial small subunit ribosomal RNA", at positions 773 to 1060 of the family's 1533-position model. The record is from RNAcentral.
GUGGAUUAGAUACCUUGGUAGUCCAUGCCGUAAACGAUGUCAACUAGCCGUUGGGGCCUUUGAGGCUUUAGUGGCGCAGCUAACGCGAUAAGUUGACCGCCUGGGGAGUACGGUCGCAAGACUAAAACUCAAAUGAAUUGACGGGGGCCCGCACAAGCGGUGGAGCAUGUGGUUUAAUUCGAUGCAACGCGAAGAACCUUACCUGGUCUUGACAUAGUGAGAACGAUCCAGAGAUGGAUUGGUGCCUUCGGGAAUUCACAUACAGGUGCUGCAUGGCCGUCGACAGCU